Molecule: ribosomal RNA, 189 nt
Filed under: uncultured bacterium
Lineage: Bacteria
Description: partial 16S ribosomal RNA
Rfam family: Bacterial small subunit ribosomal RNA
Source: RNAcentral
CUCGCCUGCAUGAAGUUGGAAUUGCUAGUAAUCGCGAAUCAGAAUGUCGCGGUGAAUACGUUCCCGGGCCUUGUACACACCGCCCGUCACACCAUGAGAGUCGAUAACACCCGAAGCCUGUGAGCUAACCGCAAGGGGCAGCAGUCGAAGGUGGGGUUGAUGAUUGGGGUGAAGUCGUAACAAGGUAGC